RNAcentral lists this transfer RNA (47 nucleotides) under Ochromonas sp. CCMP1393. Its description in RNAcentral is "partial tRNA". Lineage: Eukaryota; Chrysophyceae; Chromulinales; Chromulinaceae. The record is from RNAcentral.
GAAGGGUGGGGUCGGACUAUUUAUGUAUUCCAUAGAAGUAGCAAAGA